CGGGGGGAGCAAGCGUUGUUCGGAUUUACUGGGCGUAAAGGGCGCGUAGGCGGCCACCGCAAGUCAGUUGUGAAAUCUCUGGGCUUAACCCAGAAAGGUCAACUGAUACUGCGGGGCUAGAGUGCAGAAGGGGCAACUGGAAUUCUCGGUGUAGCGGUGAAAUGCGUAGAUAUCGAGAGGAACACCUGCGGCGUAAGGCGGGUUGCUGGGCUGACACUGACGCUGAGGCGCGAAAGCUAGGGGAGCGAACGGGAUUAGAUACCCCGGUAGUCCUAGCCUUAAACGAUGAAUGCUUGGUGUCUGGGGUUUUAUAGUCCCCGGGUGCCGUCGCUAACGCUUUAAGCAUUCCGCCUGGGGAGUACGGUCGCAAGACUG
This 375-nucleotide ribosomal RNA is filed under the name uncultured organism. RNAcentral's name for it is "bacterial SSU rRNA". It matches the Rfam family "Bacterial small subunit ribosomal RNA", at positions 526 to 896 of the family's 1533-position model. The record is from RNAcentral.